UACGUAGGGUGCGAGCGUUAAUCGGAAUUACUGGGCGUAAAGCGUGCGCAGGCGGUUCGCCAAGUCAGGUGUGAAAUCCCCGGGCUUAACCUGGGGAUUGCGCUUGAAACUAGCGGGCUUGAGUGUGGCAGAGGGGGGUGGAAUUCCACGUGUAGCAGUGAAAUGCGUAGAGAUGUGGAGGAACACCGAUGGCGAAGGCAGCCCCCUGGGUCAACACUGACGCUCAUGCACGAAAGCGUGGGGAGCAAACAGG
RNAcentral lists this ribosomal RNA (253 nucleotides) under uncultured bacterium. RNAcentral describes it as "partial 16S ribosomal RNA". It matches the Rfam family "Bacterial small subunit ribosomal RNA", at positions 524 to 776 of the family's 1533-position model. The record is from RNAcentral.